This 371-nucleotide ribosomal RNA is filed under the name uncultured organism. RNAcentral describes it as "partial 16S ribosomal RNA". It matches the Rfam family "Bacterial small subunit ribosomal RNA", at positions 527 to 896 of the family's 1533-position model. The record is from RNAcentral.
GUAGGUGGCAAGCGUUGUCCGGAAUUAUUGGGCGUAAAGCGCGCGCAGGUGGUUCUUUAAGUCUGAUGUGAAAGCCCCCGGCUCAACCGGGGAGGGUCAUUGGAAACUGGGGAACUUGAGUGCAGGAGAGGAAAGUGGAAUUCCACGUGUAGCGGUGAAAUGCGUAGAUAUGUGGAGGAACACCAGUGGCGAAGGCGACUUUCUGGCCUGUAGCUGACACUGAGGCGCGAAAGCGUGGGGAGCAAACAGGGAUUAGAUACCCUGGUAGUCCACGCCGUAAACGAUGAGUGCUAAGUGUUGGGGGGGUUUCCGCCCCCUCAGUGCUGCAGCUAACGCAUUAGCACUCCGCCUGGGAUACGGUCGCAAGACUG